Molecule: long non-coding RNA, 213 nt
Filed under: Musa acuminata (dwarf banana)
Lineage: Eukaryota; Viridiplantae; Streptophyta; Magnoliopsida; Zingiberales; Musaceae
Description: long non-coding RNA (MACU_LNC006321)
Source: RNAcentral
AAGAGUGGGAGAGGGAGUGAGAGAGAGAAAAACAAAACAUAAGACGUUAAAAACCUCAUCUGUCUAAAAUAUACACAUCGUCCCAAAAGUGCCACAUUGAGUUGUCAACUUCUUUGAGAGAGAGAACAAAUAAAUAAAAACACAAUACUGAAAAGUUGACUGUUAAAACCAUGGACACUCAAAAUUGCUCCCUCAGGGAACUGAACCUCCCGA